This is a long non-coding RNA of Gossypium arboreum, 964 nucleotides long. RefSeq lists it as uncharacterized. The record is from RefSeq and is a predicted model, not a curated record. Lineage: Eukaryota; Viridiplantae; Streptophyta; Magnoliopsida; Malvales; Malvaceae. The transcript is spliced from 2 exons.
GCAGGGUUCAGAUAUGCAAAGAUGAAUCAUAAUGCAGUGAAAGUGCCUGCAUCAUAUUUGACAGUGCUCCAAAAACUGAUUAACCAUAAGGGAUGCAUUAUUGCAGACAGAUUUGUGAAAGUAGCUAUGAUUGGACGAGCUAGGUCGUUGGUAUGGAGUCUUUAUCCACUGAAACCAAGAACCCGAGGAAUGUGUCACAGCAGGGCUUUCUUGGCCGGCAGUGGGGCUUGAAGGGGGUGUCGAGAACUCAUCCACGGGUGGUAGUUCUUCAAACUUCGUGAAAGUAACCAAUACUCUGAUUGUUGGAACAACAGGGAUAGCAACCUACAUACAACCAUGAGAACUCAUUCAAGUCAAAAUCUUUAAAAGAGAAUUAUGCAUGGCAUAUGAAAUUAAAAGCAGUAGCAACCAGUUUAUUUAACCACCAUCCUUUUUUUUCUUUUAAUUUUUGCAGAAAGCCCCAAACCUGAGGAAUGAGUACAGUAAACUGGCACGAUCAAUAUUUAAGAAUGAAACUAUAGCUCCAUUUCACCAGGCAAGUCUAUGCAUCCAUAGAUGGAAGGGACGGAAUGGAUCAUAUACCAGGCAUAAAGAUACCAAAAUCCUAGUCUUAAACCCUAAAGAAGUCAAGAAAAAGUCCAAUGCGCUCUAAUGUAAUAGAUCACAAAAAAUUCGGGUAACAAACCAACCUCAAAAUAAAUGCCAAAAAUCAUCAACAGGUGUGUAGCUAAUGACUAAGAUUCGAAAAACCCACAAAUCUGUCUAGAGGGUACGCCUUCUCAGAAAAACAUAUUAUGUUUUGGGCACAAGUACAGAAGUCAUUAUUGAGAGUUCAUAUGAUAAAACAGGAUAAUAACAGGGCCUAAUCAGUCGGUAAAAGAACAACAAACCUUUACUGGGAAGGUUCCUGCAGGAAGCUUUGUCGUGAGCAGUUCUCUCAACCGCCGAAUUGCUUUGACCUUGU